AGCCCCGUAGUGUAGUGGCCAAAUUCUUUGACGCAAGUCGGGAAGGCAAUUCAUCCUACCCUUUGGAGGUGGGGACCCAGGUUCGAACCCUGGCGGGGCUA
RNAcentral lists this transfer RNA (101 nucleotides) under archaeon. RNAcentral describes it as "tRNA-Gln". It matches the Rfam family "tRNA". From Rfam's summary of the family: Transfer RNA (tRNA) molecules are approximately 80 nucleotides in length. Their secondary structure includes four short double-helical elements and three loops (D, anti-codon, and T loops). The record is from RNAcentral.